GUGAGGAAUAUUGGUCAAUGGGCGAGAGCCUGAACCAGCCAAGUCGCGUGAAGGAAGAAGGAUCUAUGGUUCGUAAACUUCUUUUGCAGGGGAAUAAAGUGCGGGACGUGUCCUGUUUUGUAUGUACCCUGAGAAUAAGGAUCGGCUAACUCCGUGCCAGCAGCCGCGGUAAUACGGAGGAUCCGAGCGUUAUCCGGAUUUAUUGGGUUUAAAGGGUGCGUAGGUGGUUUGAUAAGUCAGCGGUGAAAGUUUGCAGCAUAACUGUAAAAAUGCCGUUGAAACUGUCGGACUUGAGUGUAAAUGAGGUAGGCGGAAUGCGUGGUGUAGCGGUGAAAUGCAUAGAUAUCACGCAGAACUCCGAUUGCGAAGGCAGCUUACUAAGCUACAACUGACACUGAAGCACGAAAGCGUGGGGAUCAAACAGGAUUAGAAACCCGAGUAGUCC
Molecule: ribosomal RNA, 445 nt
Filed under: uncultured bacterium
Lineage: Bacteria
Description: partial 16S ribosomal RNA
Rfam family: Bacterial small subunit ribosomal RNA
Source: RNAcentral